Molecule: small nucleolar RNA, 123 nt
Filed under: Dasypus novemcinctus (nine-banded armadillo)
Lineage: Eukaryota; Metazoa; Chordata; Mammalia; Cingulata; Dasypodidae
Description: Small nucleolar RNA SNORA31 (ENSDNOG00000036741.1)
Source: RNAcentral
AUGAAACAGACCUGGAGCAGUCACUGUCUGCUCCUAAAGUUUCCACUGCAGAUUCAAGAAAAAGAAGGUCCUCGCAAUUUCUGUCUGGUUGUGGCAGCUAAGGCUGAAUGGGGGAAUACAGGA